CAGCCGCCGCGGGAAUACAGAGGGUGCGAGCGUUAAUCGGAUUUACUGGGCGUAAAGCGUGCGUAGGCGGCUUCUUAAGUCGGAUGUGAAAUCCCUGAGCUUAACUUAGGAAUUGCAUUUGAUACUGGGAAGCUAGAGUAUGGGAGAGGAUGGUAGAAUUCCAGGUGUAGCGGUGAAAUGCGUAGAGAUCUGGAGGAAUACCGAUGGCGAAGGCAGCCAUCUGGCCUAAUACUGACGCUGAGGUACGAAAGCAUGGGGAGCAAACAGGAUUAGAUACCCCGGUAGUCCCUGUCUCUUAUAC
This 301-nucleotide ribosomal RNA is filed under the name uncultured bacterium. Its description in RNAcentral is "partial 16S ribosomal RNA". It matches the Rfam family "Bacterial small subunit ribosomal RNA", at positions 509 to 807 of the family's 1533-position model. The record is from RNAcentral.